UUUUACCUAUACUUGUGAAAAAUAAGAACAAUAAGCCAAAUGGCGAAAAGUAUAGUGCCAGUAACUUCGCACAUGUCGAACGCCCAUGGGAUAUGAGGAACGUUAUCCAAAAAUAUAUCUGGCAAAGGUGGCAAGUGAGAUGCAUGUCCAUCUUCCGAUACCGAAGCUGAAUAAAAUUCAUUCUCUAUGGAACCUUCAUUAUUUGUACCAGUGCUAGGCAUCUAUUGCGAUUAAUUAUAAAAUGUAAAAUAUGACAAUUUGUUAAAUAAUUCAUUUUAAAGCAAUCCAAAGUCAAGUGCUAAUUGUAACAAAUACUGACUUCGUGUUUGUGAUGGCCAUAAAAGUGCGGUGAUGUAAACAAAUCGACACAUCCCAACUCGAACAACAUCGCGACGUUGUCUCUUUGUAAUUGUUUAAUACUUAUACACAAUCUUUUUAAGUC
Molecule: long non-coding RNA, 442 nt
Organism: Vespula vulgaris
Lineage: Eukaryota; Metazoa; Arthropoda; Insecta; Hymenoptera; Vespidae
Exons: 2
Source: RefSeq, a predicted model, not a curated record